Molecule: ribosomal RNA, 474 nt
Filed under: uncultured bacterium
Lineage: Bacteria
Description: bacterial SSU rRNA
Rfam family: Bacterial small subunit ribosomal RNA
Source: RNAcentral
ACUCCUACGGGAGGCAGCAGUGGGGAAUAUUGCACAAUGGGCGCAAGCCUGAUGCAGCCAUGCCGCGUGUAUGAAGAAGGCCUUCGGGUUGUAAAGCACUUUCAGUAGGGAGGAAGGUAGUGUAGUUAACACCUGCAUUAUUUGACGUUACCUACAGAAGAAGCACCGGCUAACUCCGUGCCAGCAGCCGCGGUAAUACGGAGGGUGCGAGCGUUAAUCGGAAUUACUGGGCGUAAAGCGCAUGCAGGCGGCCUGUUAAGUCAGAUGUGAAAUCCCUGAGCUUAACUUAGGAAUUGCAUUCGAUACUGGGAAGCUAGAGUAUGGGAGAGGAUGGUAGAAUUCCAGGUGUAGCGGUGAAAUGCGUAGAGAUCUGGAGGAAUACCGAUGGCGAAGGCAGCCAUCUGGCCUAAUACUGACGCUGAGGUACGAAAGCAUGGGGAGCAAACAGGAUUAGAUACCCUGGUAGGAUAGCGU